UACGUAGGGGGCGAGCGUUGUCCGGAUUUAUUGGGCGUAAAGAGCUCGUAGGCGGCUGUUCGAGUCGGGUGUGAAAUCCUGAGGCUUAACCUUGGGUCUGCAUUCGAUACUGGGCGGCUUGAGUCUGGUAGGGGGAUCUGGAAUUCCUGGUGUAGCGGUGGAAUGCGCAGAUAUCAGGAGGAACACCGGUGGCGAAGGCGGGAUCCUGGGCCAGUACUGACGCUGAGACGCGAAAGCGUGGGGAGCGAACAGG
This 253-nucleotide ribosomal RNA is filed under the name uncultured bacterium. Its description in RNAcentral is "partial 16S ribosomal RNA". It matches the Rfam family "Bacterial small subunit ribosomal RNA", at positions 524 to 776 of the family's 1533-position model. The record is from RNAcentral.